AUGUUUCAGGAGAAGAGGCUGACGGAGAGCGUGGAGAGCGAGGUGUCGCUGCUGACCGCUCUGACCGAGAUGUUGGAGCGCGUGGACGUCGAGACACUGUCGCCAUUCGACACGCUGCCGGACGCACACAUAUUCUCGGCUCAGAAGAGUUCGGAUCACACGAAGCCCAAAGCGCUCAGUCUAGACCAGUACCGUCUCCUCAGACAGAAGAAGCCAGCUCUGGAGGAGAAACCAAUGGACUUUCGAACCAAAUGGCCUUCGCUUCACCAGCUUCCCAAGCCGAAGCUGGAUCCACACACAUGUCCAUCGCAGUCGCUGGGAAUCUCUCGUCUCUCUCAGAAAGAUGCAAACACGGCUGUAGGUCUUUGCAUUGACCCUCCAAACCCGGUUUUAGUGCCCUUGAAACCCACCCGACAGCCCAUAAUCUCAGCCGCAGAACCAGACGCUGGUGUUUCUUGUGAAGAGGUUCGAGUCUCUGAGGACGAACCCGAAGCUUCAGGAAGGAGACGGAAGCAGACGACGUGUGGAGCAAUCGGUGAGCAGAACGUUCGUCUCGUUCGGAAAGAUAUAGAUAUAAGUUUAAAUACCAUAUUUUGUUUCGGCUGGUUGCCAAAGCUUAAUCAAGUUGGACUGGGUUUUCAUUUAGUUUUAUUUGAUGUAAUAAAACAACUAUAACCAUAACUGAAAUAAAAAAGUAAUAAUAACUAAACAGAAUUUUUUUUUAAUAACAG
RNAcentral lists this long non-coding RNA (731 nucleotides) under Carassius auratus (goldfish). Its description in RNAcentral is "lncRNA (ENSCARG00000004464.1)". The record is from RNAcentral. Lineage: Eukaryota; Metazoa; Chordata; Actinopteri; Cypriniformes; Cyprinidae.